AAGAAAGUCCUGCAGUGAGAUGGAGAUCUGUAAAUGAACAGUCUAAAGUGGUUUACUGAGUCACUGACGAAGUGAAUCUUAACUAAGACCAGAAGGACAGCUGGCAGGAAUAAGAGGCAAGGUGGUAUGCGGCAGGAAGAUGCUGGGAGGUGAGGCUGGCCCCAUAGCCACGGCCAGGCCAUACAGGGACUUUUGUGGUCCAAAGAACCACGCAGAGCUGUGAAAGGACGCAAGCAAGGAAUGACAGAUGGCACCUGUGCGUGGGAGAGGGCACUCUGCUGAAGCACUGCAGUGAGAGCAUGGGAUUAGGACACAUGACCAUGCCUUGGUCCGUGCCAGCAGAAUGGAGAUAUGAAAACAUGAAGGACCAGGAGGCUGUGCUGUUCGACCAAUAGCCCCAUUUGAGCAGUGGGAUACUAAGUCCUAUUGCAUCAUAGGACUAUUCUAUUCUUUGAUGUACUGGGUCAUCUCUGAGAAUCUACUUCGCCCUACGUCCUUCUCUCUUGGGAAUUUCACUGGAGACCAGUGUCCACUGAGCUCCUGCAAAGUACUCUGUACGGGCCCAGGCAUCCUGCGGGAGACAGGUGUUAUGCAUACUCAGCAUAUAAAUGGACCCGUGAAUACAAUGAGAUGGAUUUUCAGAAGAACAUUUAAGAGCAGGCUGAAACAAAGAGGCUCAUCUGAGUGCAACUGCCAGCAAUCUGGGCCCAUCAGCAGCCCACUGAGAGCCCACCAACAGCAGGGCUGAGCCUGCUGCUUCCCAGAUACAGCCAGGAGUAGGCACGCAGCAACCUCAGGGUUCCUCUGAGGGCGUCUCCACAGUCCUUCAGGAGAACAUAGCUUUGUUACUUUAUUGACAACAGAGACGGCUCAGAUUACACAAUUCAUUAUUCCAGUCCUGCACAUGUAUGUUUGAGAGCUGUGAACUUGUGGCACACUGCAGACUUUCUGUUUCUUUUGCAGUCCUUGACCUCC
RNAcentral lists this long non-coding RNA (975 nucleotides) under Fukomys damarensis (Damara mole-rat). RNAcentral describes it as "lncRNA (ENSFDAG00000025850.1)". Lineage: Eukaryota; Metazoa; Chordata; Mammalia; Rodentia; Bathyergidae. The record is from RNAcentral.